AUUGAACGCUGGCGGCAUGCCUAACACAUGCAAGUCGAACGGCAGCACGGCAGUAGCAAUACUGUGGGUGGCGAGUGGCGGACGGGUGAGGAAUACGUCGGAAUCUGCCCAGUCGUGGGGGAUAACUAGCCGAAAGGUUAGCUAAUACCGCAUACGACCGAGAGGUGAAAGACGGGGGACCGGCAAGGCCUCGCGCGAUUGGAUGAGCCGACGUCGGAUUAGCUAGUUGGUGGGGUAAAGGGCCCACCAAGGCGACGAUCCGUAGCUGGUCUGAGAGGAUGAUCAGCCACACUGGAACUGAGACACGGUCCAGACUCCUACGGGAGGCAGCAGUGGGGAAUAUUGGACAAUGGGCGCAAGCCUGAUCCAGCAAUGCCGCGUGUGUGAAGAAGGCCUUC
RNAcentral lists this ribosomal RNA (398 nucleotides) under uncultured bacterium. Its description in RNAcentral is "bacterial SSU rRNA". It matches the Rfam family "Bacterial small subunit ribosomal RNA", at positions 29 to 419 of the family's 1533-position model. The record is from RNAcentral.